This 60-nucleotide microRNA precursor is filed under the name Python bivittatus (Burmese python). RNAcentral's name for it is "Pbv-Mir-208-P2_pre stem-loop". The record is from RNAcentral. Lineage: Eukaryota; Metazoa; Chordata; Lepidosauria; Squamata; Pythonidae.
AAGCUUUUGGCUCGGGUUAUAUUUGAAAAUGGCAGUGUAUAAGACGAGCAAAAAGCUUGU